RNAcentral lists this ribosomal RNA (253 nucleotides) under uncultured bacterium. RNAcentral describes it as "partial 16S ribosomal RNA". It matches the Rfam family "Bacterial small subunit ribosomal RNA", at positions 524 to 776 of the family's 1533-position model. The record is from RNAcentral.
UACGUAGGGUGCAAGCGUUGUCCGGAAUUAUUGGGCGUAAAGAGCUCGUAGGCGGUCUGUCGCGUCGGCUGUGAAAACUCGGGGCUCAACCCCGAGCCUGCAGUCGAUACGGGCAGACUAGAGUGCUGUAGGGGAGACUGGAAUUCCUGGUGUAGCGGUGAAAUGCGCAGAUAUCAGGAGGAACACCAAUGGCGAAGGCAGCUCGCUGGGACGGUACUGACGCUGAGGCGCGAAAGCGUGGGGAGCAAACAGG